UGCAGUGAGUAUAUCAGUUCCUUUUUGAGCUGCUGCAUAGAAGUUGACAAUGAGUGGCACUCCAGCCGUUGGCGCGCGCGAGAACCUCGGGUCGCGUGUUGAUGUGGGGCGCUCUCCCUCGGAGACUUCAGGAAGGGAUGGACAGGUUGCGCAUCUACUGGCGCAGAUUGCGUUUCUUCAUCGAGAGGUGGAGCGCCUAGAGCAGCUGCUUUCUACCGUGCGAGCAAAGUCGUAUGCUGAUGCACGUGAGCUGACCAGCCAAUAUGAGCAAACUAUCAAGCAAAAGAACGCGGAGCUAGAAAAUCUCCGACACCCCAGUGGGUCGCGUAGUGAGGUUGGCGACGCAAGCAAAAGGUGUAAGGUUCUCGAAAAGCAAUUGGCCGCCGCCAACAGCGAAAAGAGCGUUGCUUGUAUGGAAAGGGCGGACUUGCAGGCGAAAUUGCGAAAAAUGCAGGCGCUGCUGAAAUGCAGAAAAGAGGAGGUCGUCAAAGUCAAGGGCAGCUUGGAGGAGAGCAAUGUGGAGCGAUCGUCCACGAUUGCGGCACUGAAGAUGACUGUUGAGACUUUGUCGCAGGAAUGCGAUCGCUUGAGCUCAGAGUUGGCGGAGCAGGCAAAGCGGCAGCGUGUCGAGAGGACAAGCACGGGCACAGUUUGUGAGCUUCACCGCUCGGAAUCCGAGAGUCAAACCAGCCCUAUCGAACGGAUGUCCCAAUCGUGUCAGGUGUGCACGCUACAGGACGCUUUGCUAACUGCGGGAGAGGAUGCCGAGGCACCGCAUAGCCUAGCGAUUCUUUUUGAGGAGAAAACGCGAGAGUGCGAUCAGCUUCGUGGUGCUUUGGAGGAUCUAAGUGCGAUGCAGCGGGACGCCUUGGCGAUGCUGGAGGUGACAAAGAACCAGCUAAGCACCGAGGCGGAGCGGAGGCGAAUCGCGGUAGACGAUGUCGAGAAUUUGUCCGUGCAGCUUCGUGCGUUGCAGCAGCGAUGCAGCGAUCAAACCGCAGCGGAACGCGCGAUGGCGGACAAAAUCAGACUCCUGGGAGAGGAGCGGCAAAAGAUGCUGGUGGAGAAAUCUCAAAUUGAGCGGGACAGAGAUCACUGGGAGGAGCAGCUGCGCCAGUACGAAGCGGAUGUAGCGCAGCUCUCGGCUACGAAAAACCACUCGAACCGUCAAUUGAGCACACUUGCAAACGAAAACGAGAAUUUGCGUGCUGAAAUUCAGCAAUUGUGCGAGCGUGAGGCACAGGCAGUAUACGCUGUGAAGGCAAAAGACAUGGAGGUACAGGAAAUUCUAAGUGCAUAUCAAAAGGCUGCGCAAGAGAAUGAGUCGCUUUUGGAAAGUCAGCGCUUCCUUGAGCGGGAGCUGGAUAAUGUGCGCGCCGGACUUGCCUCAAAGGAGGAGACUGUGGCAUAUUUACAGGAGCAGUUGAGAUCGAUGCAUUUACGAGAGCAACAGCUGACAUUGGAUAUCCAAUCACUCGAAUACGAGAAUGAGAAUCACCAUCAACGACUAGCUAGAGGGGAUCACCAGGCAGCUGAACUCGAAGCAAAGUGCUCGGAGCUCGUUCAGCUUCUGCAGACGAAAGAGCGCUGUAUUGAAGAACUACAUCAGAGCUUGAGUGAGUUGAGCAAGCAGGUGAUUGUGAAAGACAAUGAGUCUUUGUUGCUGCGCCAGCGGUGCGACACACUUCUUGCGGACAUGGCCUUACUCCAAGCUUCGUUUUCGAAAGAGAAGACGAGAGUGCAGGAUCUGGAAGCGUCCAACGCGCGCCUUGUUGCGCGUGAAGUUCUAUCGCUUAACGAUGCGGCUGAUAGAAGAGAGCAGGCCCAAGCGCUAGAAGAUGAGCGGGCAACACUGAAGGCGGUCAUUGAUGAGAAUGAGAGAAUUGCGGUCUCGUGUGAGCAGCUCGUUGAAAGCAACAAAGUUCUGGAAUCCAGAGUGGCGGAGUUGGAAAAGUCGCUGCAAGAAUCGAUAGAAGCAAAAGAAAGGCUGCAUAGAAUUGUACUGGAACAAAACAAGGCGCUUUCUCGCCUCUCUGAGUGAAGCGAGUGAGGGUACGGUGGCAGGUGCUGUUGCUUUUUUUUUUUGCGUGGGUCAGAGAUGAUGAACGACGAUGUGCACGUUAGCGUAGUUCUGAAAGCACCUUUUCUAUUUUUUUUUUUUGCAUACAAUAGAUGCUGCAUAUUUCUCCGUUUCUGUGAACGAUGAGGGAAACACGCACAAAUAAAAGUAGAUGCCUUGUAUGGGAAGUGAUUCUUGGUUUCGCCGCAUUUCUAAACGGCUCACCACUCGCGCAUGUGCAAAUUGGUAGUGCAUUUUGGCCAACUUCUAUGUGAUGCUCGUUUGUGGUGCAUCGGCGCUUCUGCCUCAUUUCUCUUUUUUUACUCUACACACCCUCUUUUUCUCUGUGCAAUUCAAG
RNAcentral lists this unclassified non-coding RNA (2417 nucleotides) under Leishmania donovani. Its description in RNAcentral is "gene:LdHU3.09.1900(CDS-product:hypothetical_prote in_conserved)". Lineage: Eukaryota; Euglenozoa; Kinetoplastea; Trypanosomatida; Trypanosomatidae. The record is from RNAcentral.